Molecule: transfer RNA, 66 nt
Filed under: Hydrillodes lentalis
Lineage: Eukaryota; Metazoa; Arthropoda; Insecta; Lepidoptera; Erebidae
Description: tRNA-Asp
Source: RNAcentral
AAAGAAUUAGUUAAAUUUAUAACAUAAAUAUGUCAAAUUUAAAUUAUUGUCAAACAAUAUUCUUUU